Molecule: ribosomal RNA, 385 nt
Filed under: uncultured bacterium
Lineage: Bacteria
Description: bacterial SSU rRNA
Rfam family: Bacterial small subunit ribosomal RNA
Source: RNAcentral
GACGAACGCUGGCGGCGUGCUUAACACAUGCAAGUCGAGCGGUAAGGCCCUUUCGGGGGUACGACGAGCGGCGAACGGGUGAGUAACACGUGGGUGACCUGCCCUUAGCUCUGGGAUAAGCCUGGGAAACUGGGUCUAAUACCGGAUAUGACUCCAUAACGCAUGUUGUGGGGUGGAAAGCCUUGUGCGGCUAGGGAUGGGCCCGCGGCCUAUCAGCUUGUUGGUGGGGUGAUGGCCUACCAAGGCGACGACGGGUAGCCGGCCUGAGAGGGCGACCGGCCACGCUGGGACUGAGACACGGCCCAGACUCCUACGGGAGGCAGCAGUGGGGAAUCUUGCGCAAUGGGCGAAAGCCUGACGCAGCGACGCCGCGUGGGGAUGACGG